Long non-coding RNA from Mustela erminea (ermine), 2338 nucleotides. RefSeq lists it as uncharacterized. The record is from RefSeq and is a predicted model, not a curated record. The transcript has 2 exons. NCBI's taxonomy places the organism in Eukaryota, Metazoa, Chordata, Mammalia, Carnivora, Mustelidae.
AGCCACGGUCUCCUGGUUGAUUUUCUGCUUAGAUGAUCUGUCCAUUGAUGUGAGUGGCGUGUUAAGAUUCCCCUAGUAUUGUUGUAUCAUUACUGAUUACUUCCUUUAUGUUUGUUAUUAAUUGUUUUGUGUAUUUGGGUGCUCACAUGUUAGGUACAUAAAUAUUUGCAAUCAUUACAUCUUCUUAGAUUGUUCCCCUUAUUAUUAAUAGUAUCCUUAUUAUUAUUAUUAUUAUUAUUAUUAUUAGUCUCUUAUUGCAGUCUUUGUUUUAAAGUCUACUUUGUGCAAUGUAAGUAUUGAUUGUUACUCCCACUUUCUUUUGACAUCCAUUUGCAUGUUAGAUGUUUCUACAUUCCCUUGCCUCUUCCAGCCUGCUGUUCAUCCCAUCAGGCGUGUUUCUCAUUUUGCUUUCUGAGCACUUUAUCUCUGCUAUCUUAUUCCUUAUUUCUGUGGUAAGGGUCUCACUCCUGUCUUCUACUCUUUUUGGAAGUCCAGUGGCUAUUCUAAUGAUCAUUACUUUAAAUUCUCUAUCAGGCAUGUUACUUAUCUGUUUCACUUAGAUCUCUGACCAUGGCCCUGUACUGUUCUUUCACUGGAGACAGAUUUCUCUGUCUUCUCAUUUUGUCUAAGUCUCUGUGCCUGUUGCUAUGUGUUAGGAAAGUCAGCUACCUCUCCUGUUCUUGAGGGUAAUAGCCUUAAGAAGAAGAGACCUUGUAGUGCCCUGCAAUGUAGUGCCCCCUGCUUUCUAGGGCCUGGUGCUUCCAGGAUUGUCUCCAAUGUAUGCUGUGUGUGCUCUGCUAUUUUGUCCUGGCCACUUUAUCCUUCAGGCCAGCCAUCUGUAGUGGCUCUCUUCACCUGUUAUGGGCAGUGUUUGGUCCCUGGCCUGAAGGUGGUAUGUUUUAGCCAAGUGUGUGCUGGUCUGUUUGUGAAAUGAGCCCUGUCAUCACCACCACCAGAACCAAGGCUCUGUAAAACUCCAGGUCAGGUGAUGGUUUGAAUAGGGCUUUGGGCUCAUCUUCUGGGGGAGGGGGCCUGCUGUGCUGAGACUGAGUCUCCCCAGCAUGACUGGGAGGGGCAGUUCCAGCAGAGUGCAGGGAGGUGGGGCUUGGUGGUAAGCAAGUUAGGUAGUGAGUGUCAGUGCUGUGCUGGUUCCCACAGGGGGCUCUGUUUUUAUGCUGAGGGGCGAGAGAGGGACAUGGCACUGCCAGUUUCUUUGUUCCCACAGCAACCUCUCCAUGAAUGCUAUCUCUCUGGGAUGUGCUCUGAGAUGAGCGAAUAACCUCCCACUGUGUGCCCCAGGCGAGUGGCAUAUGAAGAUUGGGCUAAGAGGAGAGCCCUAAACCCCUGGGUCAGAAUUUCACAAGGUGUUGUACACAAAUAUCAAGACAGGUUAAACAUUCAAUUUCACUUUUACAUUAAAAUGACCAUCUUAGACAUAUAUGUUUGGGAUAUGUUGGUCAUUUUUUUCAUCAAGUUUUAUACAUUGGAUAAAGAGCAUUAAUAAUGACUAUAUUUGUUUUAUGAGACAACAUUGUACAGUUUAUCUAUGUCCAGGUAGAUCUGGGAAAAUAAUUUUUGUUUUUAUCUAUUGUUUUAAAGGCAAGAUGCUUAUAAGCUAAAGAGGUUUUUGAGAAACCUCAUAAAGCUUCUGAAAAUAUCAGCUGACUUUCCAUAAUGCAAAUUAUGUGUUAUGAGAAUAACCCCUUUGUCUAUAUAUUCUAGGGAGAUUGUUCUCUAACACUUGUUGGCAGCUGUUAAACCAAGUAGAAAUUCACUGUCAAAUGUGGACAUUAGUUUUAAAUACGUAUUAAUUUGUUAGAGCUGGAGACAGCAGCACAAAAGACACAGGUGGUGGCUUCUAAUGAUAGGUAAGCAAAUAUAUAAUUAGAGUUCUAGAACCACUUGAUCUCUGUCAACAGCCACUUUCCAAAAUUUUUCACUAUCAUCACCAGCUUUUAUUAGUAUUUCCACCUGUUGCCUUAAUGGUAAGGAAAUACCACCUAAAAGCAGUAUGACAAUGACUGGGCUAUGAUGGAGCUUUUAAACCAUUUAUACCCAAAUCCCAUUUAAGCCUACCUAGUAUGAUAGAUGUGGAUAUGUAUGGUAGUUUGCACUAUCAAAAAGACUUUGAAUCUGUGGAAUUAAAAUAUUUUUCUCCAGAAUUAUAUCUUACAUUUGCAUUGUGGCUUCUGAUUAUUGUAUUCCUUAUCUUAUAUAAUCUCAUUGGUUCUCACAUCCAAUCUAAAAAAUUUAGUGGAUCAGAUAUUCUUUCCAUUUUACUUAUCCUUAAAGAUUGUAUCCAAAGUUGAAGGAAAUUAAAGAUGAAUAAUAAAACUUA